GGGAGGAUGGAGGGAAAGAGAGAUGCUCCGGUGCUCCGCGGACAACGAGCAUCUCCCCACGAUUGUGUGGCAGUUACAUGACACAGCAGUGAAAUUUUCAUCGUUGUGCGUUUCCCUCUAAAUCGGAAAUUCACAAUCCACAUCGUGCGUCUGAUGAUUUGAUCGAAUUAGUACGAACUGACGUAUUACAAUGUAAUAAUUACGUCUGGUAAUGGUGCUGUAAUGAAGGGAAUGCAAUUAUACCGGUCGCCGGUUGUGAAUGUCACCACGCGUCGGAGAUCGUAUGCAAAGUGCUUGGCAUACAUAAAUGGUUCGCAUCUCAUUAUCCUUCCGUCAUUUUCGAGAGGCAAACCGAAGAUAAAUAUCGAAAUUAUAAGAUUCGGCCGAUUUUAGCAACUUGAUAGUAAUAUGUUGUUUGUCUGAAUUAUGGAUAA
This is a long non-coding RNA of Pogonomyrmex barbatus (red harvester ant), 434 nucleotides long. RefSeq lists it as uncharacterized. The record is from RefSeq and is a predicted model, not a curated record. Lineage: Eukaryota; Metazoa; Arthropoda; Insecta; Hymenoptera; Formicidae.